ACAAAAAGCACUUGAAACUCGGUCCAUCAACGAUACUUCAGGGCCCUGAUGACAUAAGAAAAAACAAGAGUUAGGAGCAUUUGUCUCCUUUGCAUCAGAGUGCCUCUCUGGCACAUGGGGUUCAAGACCACCGGCGGGCAAGGACAGGGUGGAGGAGAACAAGAGCAACUCAAGACCAAGAUGCUGAGCAGAUCCAUUUUAUUGUUUUACAUCAGUCACAGAGUACCCUUUAAGAAAAUACUGCGAGGAGUAACUUAGGGAAGUUUUCCUAAGGAAGUGAGAGUAGACAUAGAAUCCAAGUCCAUGGAAGGGGAUUCAGAAGAAAAUUUGAGUUUCUGAGCCCCAGGGAGGGUUCAUUGUCUUUGCAAGUUCAGAGUCUUCUACAGGACCUCUCAGGCCCUGCAGCCAAUGAAGGAGGAUAAAGAUGAUGUCCGCAGCAGUGUGCUGUCCCCAGGUUGGAUCUUGUAGACUCAGAGACAUCUUCAGCAGCAGCCGCCUCCAUAGGACUGACCACUCCCCUCUCCGCAACACCCGGAGCCCCCCGAGGGCUGGCUGCAGCAGUCAGACCUGUGGGGUCUGCAGUGGUGGGACCUGCGGCGCCUGUGGUGGCUCAGGCAGCAGCCCCCACACCCAGAGCUGCAGCAGCCCCCGGAGCUGGGGCCCAAGCAGCCCUCGGAGCUGACACCGCAGCAGGAGGAGACUGGGGGGCACUUUGGGGGGCAUUUAGGGGUAGGGCACUUGGGGACGCACUUGGGAGGAGGCUGGCACUGCUGCUGGUUCUGCUGGCAGGACAUCUUGGUGGGCAGGUUCAGGAGCUGAGGGAGAGAGACAGCAGGUCAGACCAGCACACAGAGACCUCCCUGUCCCUUCCUGACUUUUCAACAUCAUUUCUAACAUGUAUGUUUAAACAACUUGCCUCUGUUAUUAUUUUAAUGUCUUAUCAACUAUUCUCAUAGCAUCUCCUUUGAAUCUCAUCUUAUCCUUUUUAAAGUAGGAAGGGGUCAUAACCUAUUUUACCAAUUUGAAAAUUGACAUUAAAUGAUAUUUUUAAAAAAAAUUGUUUUCACUUAUCUCAUUCAAAUACUGAAAUUGUUCUACAGAGAUGAACUUAGAACGGAAAUAUUUUCUUUAUGGAAAAAAGUCAUGUUAGCACCCUAAAUAAUUUCAUUUUUUGAAAUUUACAACUUCAGAUUAGAAAGGGAUCUGAGGAAUAUCCUGGCUGGCUCUCCUUGUUAGAGAGAACGAUGAGAGUUCCCUUGACUCAGAUCCUGACCUAUAAUGGCCUCAGAAACACCUCUUACACCAUCCUUAGCCUAGAAAUUAUUAAACUUCUUGUGCUUUUUCACCUCUAGAAGUGUACAAUGCAUUCCCAGGCUCUGUCCUUACCCACGUGUAUAAUAAUCUCCCAGAGUGCCUCUAAUCCUCUCCUCACUCUGACAAUUGCUCUAAUCAUACCAGAGGAUACAGUAUCUCUAGAAGGUAAACUCCCUUUCUGAGAUCUGUUCCAGAAUAUCAGAGCAGCCAGUGGUUUCCUUCUUUCAUCCUGGGAGUUCCCCCUCCACAAAGCUGCAGAUCUUUGGGUCCCUCCCAGUGUCCUUAGCCAUCACUAAACUCCUAUCAUUCUCCCUGUCUUCCUGCCUGCUCCUGGUUCCUUCUGUCCUUCCAGGGUUUCUCUCUCUCUCUCUAAUAAUAUGGGCCACAUCCCCCAAGGUCCUGCUCCCUGUCCUCCCCUCUGGUCUGAGCAUCCUCUGUGGAAGGCCCUGGUCCCACUCCCAGUGGACACUCACCGGUGCACACACAGCACAGAGUCGUCAGCACCUCAGGAGAGGAGUGGAUGGAGGUGCUCUGUCCCAGGGCCCUUUUAUCCCGGCCUUGGGCUCUGCCCUCAGAUGUGAAACAGGGCCUGAGCGUGAGAGGACCGCCUCCUGCCACCCACGUGGCUCCUGUGACAGGUGAUGACUGGCAGCUCCUCCCUGCCUCCUUCCAUGGGGCUCAGGGCAUCCCCAGCACCAGUGCUCCCUCCUUCUCCUUACGGCUUCCUGUCCCUCAUACCUUCCUCUGGGAAUUGGCCUCCCAAGCCCUCCUGUCCUAGUUCUCUGAUGGUCUGCCUUGAACUAAGACUCAUGGAGCCUCCAAGGGUCUCUGCUUACGUCCCAGCCCCCUAGGCCCAUCCUGUGUGUGUGGAUGUUCGUGUCUGUGCUGUUCCUGUUAAAAGCCUGGAUUGGGAGUGAGACCCAUCUGGGACAGAACUCCUGGUCCUGACACUCAGCUAUGUGAUCUUAUGAAAAUCACCUAACCUUUCUCAUUCUGUUUCCUCAACUUUAAAAUGGUUGAGAAAAACUAUUCUCGAUGGAGUCAUGAGAGUUAACAGAAUCAUAGAAGUAAAAUGUCUGCAAAAGGUCCGAUAGCACAUCGUGUGUGCGUGCUCAGUCCUGUCCGACUCUUUGCAAUCCCAUGGACUGUAGGCCACUAGACUCCUUUAUCCAUGGGAUUAUCUCAGCAAGAAUACUGCAGUAGGUUGCCAUUUUCUCCUCCAGCAGAUCUUCCUGAUCCAGGGAUCAAACCUGUGACUCCUGUGGCUCCUGCACACAUUGGAUCCUCACAAAUGAGCAAAUAUCAAAUUAUCCAUUGAUAAUUAAAAGAGAAAGUUUAUUUUAAAAGACAGCUCUUUCCUAGGAUACAUACAUCUGACUUUUUAAAUGACCAGUUUUUUCACCUGAGCUUUUUUGUGCAUUUUCAUAAAACAAUAUCCCUGUUGAGUGACUAGGGAGUAAAUCUGCAUUGCCUUACGUAGUAGAAUGAGAAUUUGUUUUUCAAGAAUCUUACACAGCGAAAGCUGUGAGCUGGUGGACCAGAAAGCAACAAGAAGAGACAAUGAGAGGGCUCAGCCCUGGGGCACAGGCAGAGGGGCUGGGACCCAUUGAAACGUGUGCCCAGGUGGAGGAAGCAGGAGGUCUUGGGGUUCAGUAGGAAUCUCCAGCGUUACCUCUGUUGCUGCAAGAACCCAAGGGUUCCUUCAAGGGUGUUUGUAUAUGCACAUUUUUACAAGAUUAAGAUAAGGGCUAAUGUCAGUUUGGUAGGUAGGAGGUGAGCCUUCCAUGUGUAGAAGGCAACAUCACAAAAAAACUAAACAAAUUAAUCAGAUGAAAGGAAAUCAGAGCUAGGAUUAAUUAUGGAAAGAAAACAUUCUUUCUGGAAGUGUCCAAAAUAAUUUUUUGGAGUAGAAUAAGAUGUGAAUUGAGUCAAUAAUAUCUAUAUCAAGGUCAUAAUGGAUAAGGAUAACCAAUAUCUGGUGAAAUGUAUACAUGUGCACAGGCAUAGGGGGUUUAGAUUGACUUAGAUUGACUAUAUUUUUAAAAUUGUGGUAUAAAACCUUAUAGACUGAGAUAGAGAUGCAGAUACAGCCUCAGAUACAGAUAUAGGUGCAGAAUCUACCCUCCUUAUCAUUCUCAGCACCAGAUAUGAAAAGGUGGAUGGCCUCCACUGAUGAAUCACUGCCUCCCAUCUGCUAGGAUUUCUCCUUGACUCCAGUCUUCACUGGGAUACAAGUAUGUUCUCCCUCCACCAUCCCACACUCUAGGAAUCAUUACAUCUGCCCUUUAAGGAAGCCUCAUUCAGGGCUCCACACUGUGUUCAUGAUUGAAGUUAUCAUUUUUGACUGAUAUGCAAGGCUCUCUGUAAUAUGACUUUGUGCAACUACUCCAAUUUCUGUUUUUCUUCCCAAGAUUU
This is a long non-coding RNA of Bos grunniens (domestic yak), 3729 nucleotides long. The record is from Ensembl. NCBI's taxonomy places the organism in Eukaryota, Metazoa, Chordata, Mammalia, Artiodactyla, Bovidae.